Molecule: long non-coding RNA, 939 nt
Filed under: Numida meleagris (helmeted guineafowl)
Lineage: Eukaryota; Metazoa; Chordata; Aves; Galliformes; Numididae
Description: lncRNA (ENSNMEG00000000085.1)
Source: RNAcentral
AACAAGGAACUCGGAGGAAAGGGCAAAAGUGCUCUCUCUCACAAAGCAAAAGAGUAGGUCAAGCAAAAAAACACAACUUUUAAAUUUUUUAAUCAACGAUUUUUAAAUUUAUUAAACUAAAAUUAUUACCAAAAAUGCAGUUUUUAUUUUGUUAUUGCGUUUUGGGUGUUCGGACCUGACAUUUAAGUAUAAGGAUGUACCUAGAGCAUCCUGCCAGGUGACACAUUUUUCUAGCUGAUAGCUCUUCCUGAGGUGAAUGGGUUUUGCAAGAGACUUUGGGUUGUAGUAAAAAAAAAACAAACACCACAAUCUCCUGCACUUUGUAGGGUGGAAUCCUUCCCGCCACCAAGGAGAUUCUGUCUCAAAUAUCAACUGCAACAAGGAACAGAAUGGAGCAUGAAUGUAGGAGACAGCACUUGCCACCCACCCACUCAUGAAAGCAAGAAAUCAAAGCAAGCAAAGAUAUCAUAUAAAUGGAGUCAACAACACCUGUGCAUUUGGAAAGGCUAGUAACUGUGGCUCAAGAUGCUUGCGUUUAAUGUAAAAUACAAGACUGUUCUAAUCCAGCCUCAUCAAGUCCCAGAGUCUUACACUGCCCUCAACUUCAUCAUGCCAUAGAUUCUGAAAGCAGCAUAUUAAGUGGAAAGGAUCUCUAAACAAGAAAACCAAGUCAUCCUUUCAAAUGACACCAGACCACAAUGUGAUGUGAAUUAAAAAAAAAAAAAACACACUGUAUGUAAUGAAAGAAACUACAGAAUUCAAAAGCAGUGUCUGUGACAUAAUUAGCACAUAAAUUAACAACAUGAGAAUAACAGGUAUUUUUAAAACAUAUCGCUUAGCUACUUUCUGAAACAUAUAGUGUAAAACCGUGCAGAACACGAACUAGCCACCGAGCUUGUUGAAAUACACUUGCUGAAAAUGCUCCAGAGUUUAGGCAGA